RNAcentral lists this ribosomal RNA (468 nucleotides) under uncultured bacterium. RNAcentral describes it as "partial 16S ribosomal RNA". It matches the Rfam family "Bacterial small subunit ribosomal RNA", at positions 28 to 507 of the family's 1533-position model. The record is from RNAcentral.
GACGAACGCUGGCGGCGUGCUUAACACAUGCAAGUCGAACGGAAAGGCCCUGCUUUUGUGGGGUGCUCGAGUGGCGAACGGGUGAGUAACACGUGAGUAACCUGCCCUUGACUUUGGGAUAACUUCAGGAAACUGGGGCUAAUACCGGAUAGGAGCUCCUGCUGCAUGGGGGGGGUUGGAAAGUUUCGGCGGUUGGGGAUGGACUCGCGGCUUAUCAGCUUGUUGGUGGGGUAGUGGCUUACCAAGGCUUUGACGGGUAGCCGGCCUGAGAGGGUGACUGGCCACAUUAGGACUGAGAUACGGCCCAGACUCCUACGGGAGGCAGCAGUGGGGAAUAUUGCACAAUGGGCGGAAGCCUGAUGCAGCAACGCCGCGUGCGGGAUGACGGCCUUCGGGUUGUAAACCGCUUUCGCCUGUGACGAAGCGUGAGUGACGGUACUGGGUAAAGAAGCACCGGCUAACUACGUG